ACACUCAAAAUGAUUAAUACUCUAUACAUGCCAUAGUUUUAAACAUUUUGAAAAACACAUAAUACCGAGAUCGUUAUGAUAGUGUGAUACGAGCUCCGACGAUCCCCAAUUCGAACAAGCUCAAAUCACUAUAAAACAAAGGAAAGGAGAAAAUAUGUAAGCUACAAAUAGCUUAGUAAGUUACAUGUAAACAAUAAGUACUCAUUUAGUAAUUGACAUUUCUCUCAUAUAACUAAUCAAACAUUUCUUAGCAAUUUCAAUCACUUACACAUGCAUAAUCUUACCCAUUUCACUUGCACAUGCACUUAUACACUUAACAUUUAUCACAUAUGCUCAUUCUUUUAAACAUACCUGCAUACACACUUCAUUUCAUAUUCACUUCAACUCAUUAUUAAUCCCAUUGAACACUCGGAAUAUACACGGAUACAUAGAGAAUUAGCACAUAAGUGCCACACUGAUACGUAGCCGAAGCUACCACUGAAAUGUAGCCGAAGCUACCACUGAUCAAUAACACUGGAAAUGUCCACGGGCCUGCUCACACAAGCUGUCAGGUGUCUGCAACACAUGCUAGAUCACCCAACACCCGGGACUCACUGUAACACUGGUCUCUAGUGACAUGUCACUUGUAUCCACUUCUAUUCCUAAGUUCAACCGGGAAUUUACACUUAACACUUUAUUUUCAACACUUUAUCACUUGAAUAAUUCAUGAACAAUUUUCCUUCUACAUUCAAUAUUGAUUCACAUAUCAAUAAAAUUCACAAUUUAUAAAAAUAUAUUGCUAUUAUUUACACAUAACUUACCUCGGAUGCAAAACGACUAUUUUUGUAAUUUAGUCGAUAACUUUCUCUUUUCCCCGAUCACUUCCACUAUUUCUUCUUUCUUGAUCUAUAUUAACACAAUUUAAUGCAUUUUAUCAAUAUUCCAUUCAAAUACAAUUUAUACACAAUAUUUUGGCAAACUUACAUUUUUUCCCAUAACUUUUCAAAAAUUACACUUUUGUCCGAAAGCUCGUAAAAAUAAAAUUCACUAAAUUUUUAAAUUUCAAACUUCACUAUAUCAUAUUCCAUGCUCAUAACAGCCCUCAAUUUCAAAAAAUCACAACUUUAUGCACACUUUACUAUCUUUCACAAUUUAGUCCUUUUUCAACAUUUUCAUCGAAAUUCAUCUAGUAAAACUUGUAAUUAACACUUCAAACAUUCAUUAUCUAACAUCACUAAUCAAUUUACAAUUAUAUCAUGAAUGAGUCAAUUUUUAAACUUUAAUUCCAUUAAAAAUAAAUGGUAGAAACAUGAAAUUCAAGUUUCAAUAAGCAUAAAAAUACGAAAAUAAUUAAAAACAGGGCAAGAAAUCACUUACAAUUGAGCUUAAAAAAAUCAAGAACCCUAGCUAUGGUGACAUGAAUUUUUUU
Molecule: long non-coding RNA, 1408 nt
Filed under: Gossypium barbadense (sea-island cotton)
Lineage: Eukaryota; Viridiplantae; Streptophyta; Magnoliopsida; Malvales; Malvaceae
Description: long non-coding RNA (GBAR_LNC015877)
Source: RNAcentral